AUUGAACGCUGGCGGCAGGCCUAACACAUGCAAGUCGAGCGAGCGGCGGACGGGUGAGUAAUGUCUGGGAAACUGCCUGCUGGAGGGGGAUAACUACUGUAAACGGUAGCUAACACCGCAUACCAUCAGAUGUGCCCAGAUGGGGUUAGCUAGUAGGUGGGGUAAGGGCUCACCUAGGCGACGAACCCUAGCUGGGCUGAGAGGAUGACCAGCCACACUGGAACUAGUACCCGGUCCAGACUCCUACGGGAGGCAGCGGUGGGAAAUAUUGCACAAAGAGCGCAAUCCUGAUGAAGCCACGGCGCGUGUGUUAAGAAGGCCUUCGGGUUGUAAAGCACUUUCAGCGGGGAGGCGUUACCCGCAGAAGAAGCACCGGCUAACUCCGUGCCAGCAGCCGCGGGAAUUC
This 406-nucleotide ribosomal RNA is filed under the name uncultured bacterium. RNAcentral describes it as "partial 16S ribosomal RNA". It matches the Rfam family "Bacterial small subunit ribosomal RNA", at positions 30 to 526 of the family's 1533-position model. The record is from RNAcentral.